CCUUAUUGGAGAGUUUGAUCCUGGCUCAGGACGAACGCUGGCGGCGUGCUUAACACAUGCAAGUCGAGCGGUAAGGCCCUUCGGGGUACACGAGCGGCGAACGGGUGAGUAACACGUGGGUAACCUGC
Molecule: ribosomal RNA, 128 nt
Filed under: Lentzea jiangxiensis
Lineage: Bacteria; Bacillati; Actinomycetota; Actinomycetes; Pseudonocardiales; Pseudonocardiaceae
Description: 16S rRNA. Bacterial SSU
Rfam family: Bacterial small subunit ribosomal RNA
Source: RNAcentral